CGGAGCGUAGUAUAACGGUUAUUAUGCAGGGCUGGGGGUCCUGUGAUCCGGGUUCAAUUCCCGGCGCUCCGACCA
Molecule: transfer RNA, 75 nt
Filed under: Candidatus Jorgensenbacteria bacterium CG_4_10_14_0_8_um_filter_39_13
Lineage: Bacteria; Candidatus Joergenseniibacteriota
Also listed under: 3 other names
Description: tRNA-Pro
Rfam family: tRNA
About the family: Transfer RNA (tRNA) molecules are approximately 80 nucleotides in length. Their secondary structure includes four short double-helical elements and three loops (D, anti-codon, and T loops).
Source: RNAcentral